This 489-nucleotide long non-coding RNA is filed under the name Mus pahari (shrew mouse). Its description in RNAcentral is "lncRNA (MGP_PahariEiJ_G0003537.1)". The record is from RNAcentral. Lineage: Eukaryota; Metazoa; Chordata; Mammalia; Rodentia; Muridae.
GAGCGCGGGGCGAGCCGAGGGGUUCAAGGGGAGCGGUUUGCCUCCCUCGCCCGGGCCGAGUGGACGUGCCGCCCGCUCGCCGUCUCCCUGUCGGAACAGCACCUUCUCACUAAAGCGAUCGGAGGUCGGGCCGGGAGGGCGGGGGACGGAGGCGGGUCAUGGGCUGAGGGGGAGGGUAGACGAGUGGCGGAAACCCUUAAACUCAGAGAAGCAUCGAGAACCGGAAGGAGACCUUAGGAGGAAGAAACUGGACACAGAUUGCUGUUACACCAGGGGACAGAGCUCUUAAGUGGCAGAAGUGGAAUUUGAAUAAACUGAUUAGUGAGGAACACUCGGACCUACCAAAACCUCUCAACAUACAGGGAGGACAAUGAAGCAAACUUGAAAGAAACCAGUUCCUGUUGCCCUAAUCUAAUGAGUUUCAACAAAGUAGUACACUGAAACUUUAUGCAAUAAAGCACAGAAAACUGGGAAAAAUUUGUGGCCAGA